GUGAGGAAUUUUCCGCAAUGGGCGAAAGCCUGACGGAGCAAUGCCGCGUGAAGGAUGAAGGCCUAUGGGUUGUAAACUUCUUUUCUCAGAAAAGAAUUAUGACGGUAUCUGAGGAAUAAGCAUCGGCUAACUCUGUGCCAGCAGCCGCGGUAAGACAGAGGAUGCAAGCGUUAUCCGGAAUGAUUGGGCGUAAAGCGUCUGUAGGUUGUUUAAAAAGUAUUCUGUCAAAGAUUAGGGCUUAACCCUAGAUAGGCAGAAUAAACUUUUAAGCUAGAGUUUGGUAGAGGCAGAGGGAAUUCCCGGUGGAGCGGUGAAAUGUGUAGAUAUCGGGAGGAACACCAAAGGCGAAGGCACUCUGCUGGGCCAAUACUAACACUGAGAGACGAAAGCGAGGGGAGCAAAUGGGAUUAGAUACCCCGGUAGUCC
Molecule: ribosomal RNA, 426 nt
Filed under: uncultured bacterium
Lineage: Bacteria
Description: partial 16S ribosomal RNA
Rfam family: Bacterial small subunit ribosomal RNA
Source: RNAcentral